AGUGAACGCUGGCGGUAGGCCUAACACAUGCAAGUCGAACGGCAGCACAGUAAGAGCUUGCUCUUACGGGUGGCGAGUGGCGGACGGGUGAGGAAUACAUCGGAAUCUACUUUUUCGUGGGGGAUAACGUAGGGAAACUUACGCUAAUACCGCAUACGACCUACGGGUGAAAGCAGGGGAUCUUCGGACCUUGCGCGAUUGAAUGAGCCGAUGUCGGAUUAGCUAGUUGGCGGGGUAAAGGCCCACCAAGGCGACGAUCCGUAGCUGGUCUGAGAGGAUGAGCAGCGACACUGGAACUGAGACACGGGCCAGAGUCCUACGGGAGGGAGCGGAGGGGAAUAUUGGGCAAUGGGGGCGAGCCUGAGCCAGACCUACCGCGUGGGGGAAGAAGGGCCUCGGGUUGUGAAGCGCCUUUGUUGGGAAAGAAAAGCACCGGGGUUAAAUCCCGCGGUGUUGACGGUACCCAAAGAAUAAGCACCGGCUAACUUCGUG
Molecule: ribosomal RNA, 492 nt
Filed under: uncultured bacterium
Lineage: Bacteria
Description: partial 16S ribosomal RNA
Rfam family: Bacterial small subunit ribosomal RNA
Source: RNAcentral